Molecule: ribosomal RNA, 117 nt
Filed under: Rubidibacter lacunae KORDI 51-2
Lineage: Bacteria; Bacillati; Cyanobacteriota; Cyanophyceae; Chroococcales; Aphanothecaceae
Source: RNAcentral
CCUGGUGUCAAUAGCGCAGUGGACCCACGGCGAUCCAUCUCGAACUCGCAGGUGAAACGCUGCAGCGGCGACGAUACUGGACGGGUUGCUGUCCGGCAAAAUAGUUCGAUGCCAGGU